Molecule: ribosomal RNA, 389 nt
Filed under: uncultured bacterium
Lineage: Bacteria
Description: bacterial SSU rRNA
Rfam family: Bacterial small subunit ribosomal RNA
Source: RNAcentral
AUUGAACGCUGGCGGCAUGCUUUACACAUGCAAGUCGAGCGGCAGCGCGGGGGCAACCCUGGCGGCGAGCGGCGAACGGGUGAGUAAUGCAUCGGAACGUACCCUGGAGUGGGGGAUAACGCCGCGAAAGCGGCGCUAAUACCGCAUAUGCUCUGAGGAGGAAAGUGGGGGACCGCAAGGCCUCACGCUCUGGGAGCGGCCGAUGUCCGAUUAGCUAGUUGGUGAGGUAAAGGCUUACCAAGGCGACGAUCGGUAGCUGGUCUGAGAGGAUGAUCAGCCACACUGGGACUGAGACACGGCCCAGACUCCUACGGGAGGCAGCAGUGGGGAAUUUUGGACAAUGGGGGGCAACCCUGAUCCAGCCAUGCCGCGUGAGUGAAGAAGGCCUC